Molecule: ribosomal RNA, 447 nt
Filed under: uncultured bacterium
Lineage: Bacteria
Description: partial 16S ribosomal RNA
Rfam family: Bacterial small subunit ribosomal RNA
Source: RNAcentral
GACGAACGCUGGCGGCAGGCUUAACACAUGCAAGUUGAACGAGAUCUUCGGAUCUAGUGGCAGACGGGUGAGGAACACGUGGGAACAUCCCUUUCAGUUCGGAAUAACGUUGGGAAACUAACGCUAAUACCGGAUACGUCCUUCGGGAGAAAGAUUUAUCGCUGAAAGAUUGGCCCGCGUCUGAUUAGCUAGUUGGUGAGGUAAUGGCUCACCAAGGCUACGAUCAGUAGCUGAUCUGAGAGGAUGAUCAGCCACAUUGGGACUGAGACACGGCCCAAACUCCUACGGGAGGCAGCAGUGGGGAAUAUUGGACAAUGGGCGCAAGCCUGAUCCAGCCAUGCCGCGAGUGAUGACGGCCUUCGGGUUGUAAAGCUCUUUUGUCCGGGAAGAUAAUGACUGUACCGGAAGAAUAAGCCCCGGCAAACUUCGUGCCAGCCGCCGCAGUAA